GCUCAGGAUGAACGCUAGCGGCAGGCCUAACACAUGCAAGUCGAGGGGUAACAGGGAAAAGCUUGCUUUUCCGCUGACGACCGGCGCACGGGUGCGGAACGCGUAUCGAACCUGCCCCCUUCAGGGGAACAGCCCAUGGAAACGUGGAUUAAUGCCCCAUGGCACCCAGGGACCACCUGGUUUUUGGGUUAAAGAUUUAUCGGAAGGGGAUGGCGAUGCGUGCCAUUAGCUUGUUGGUAAGGUAACGGCUUACCAAGGCAACGAUGGCUAGGGGCCCUGAGAGGGGGAUCCCCCACACUGGUACUGAGACACGGACCAGACUCCUACGGGAGGCAGCAGUGAGGAAUAUUGGACAAUGGUGGGAACACUGAUCCAGCCAUGCCGCGUGCAGGAUGACUGCCCUAUGGGUUGUAAACUGCUUUUACAUGGGAAGAAACCUCCCCUUGCGAGGGGAUCUGACGGUACCAUGAGAAUAAGGACCGGCUAACUCCGUGCCAGCAGCCGCGGUAAUACGGAGGGUCCGAGCGUUAUCCGGAAUCAUUGGGUUUAAAGGGUCCGUAGGUGGGCCAUUAAGUCAGGGGUGAAAGUCUGCGGCUCAACCGUAGAAUUGCCUUUGAUACUGGUGGUCUUGAGUCGUUGUGGGGUUGCCGGAACAUGUGGUGUAGCGGUGAAAUGCAUAGAUAUCACAUAGAACACCGAUCGCGAAGGCAGGUGACCAACAACGUACUGACACUGAUGGACGAAAGCGUGGGUAGCGAACGGGAUUAGAUACCCCGGUAGUCCACGCCGUAAACGAUGGAUACUAGCUGUGGGGACCUCGGUCUCCGUGGCCAAGCGAAAGUGAUAAGUAUCCCACCUGGGGAGUACGUUCGCAAGAAUGAAACUCAAA
RNAcentral lists this ribosomal RNA (889 nucleotides) under uncultured marine bacterium. RNAcentral's name for it is "bacterial SSU rRNA". It matches the Rfam family "Bacterial small subunit ribosomal RNA", at positions 22 to 905 of the family's 1533-position model. The record is from RNAcentral.